AACGAACGCUGGCGGCAGGCUUAACACAUGCAAGUCGAACGCCCCGCCCUGUGAGUGGCGCACGGGUGAGUACCGCGUGGUUAUCUGCCUUUUGGUUCGGUAUCACCCCGGGAUACCGGGGCUAAUACCGGAUUGUUCCUACGUGAUAAAGAUUUAUCGCCAAAAGUUGUGUCCGCGUACGAUUAGCUAGUUGGUGAGGUAAUGGCACACCAAGGCGAAGAUCGUUAGCUGGUCUGAGAGGACGACCAGCCACACGGGGACUGAGACACGGCGCAGACACGUACGGGAGGCAGAAGUGGGGAAUAUGGGACAAUGGGGGCAAGUCUGAGCCGGCCAUGCCGCGUGAGGGAAGAAGGCCUUCGGGUUGUAAAGCUAUUUUGGCGGGGACGAUGAUGACGGUACCAGAAGAAUAAGCCCCGGCUAACUUCGUG
RNAcentral lists this ribosomal RNA (431 nucleotides) under uncultured bacterium. RNAcentral's name for it is "partial 16S ribosomal RNA". It matches the Rfam family "Bacterial small subunit ribosomal RNA", at positions 29 to 507 of the family's 1533-position model. The record is from RNAcentral.